This 293-nucleotide unclassified non-coding RNA is filed under the name uncultured fungus. RNAcentral describes it as "partial contains 5.8S ribosomal RNA, internal transcribed spacer 2, and large subunit ribosomal RNA". The record is from RNAcentral. Lineage: Eukaryota; Fungi.
AACGCACCUUGCACCCUUUGGUAUUCCGAAGGGUAUGCCUGUUCGAGUGUCAUGAAACUCUCAAACCGUCAACUUUAUUGAUGGCGGGUUUGGACUUGGACGUUGCUGGGUUUACGCUCGGCUCGUCUUAAAUGUAUUAGCUGGCUCUUUUGGCUUCAGUUACUCGGUGUGAUAAUACAUCUACGCCGUAGCCGCAAGGCGCUGAGGUCGAAUACGGAGUGGCUCAUAACCGUCUUCGGACAAUUUUCAUCACAUCUGGCCUCGAAUCAGGUAGGACUACCCGCUGAACUUAA